GGGCGCAGCCUGAUGCAGCAACGCCGCGUGAGUGAUGAAGGCCUUCGGGUUGUAAACCUCUUUCGUCCGGGACGAUAAUGACGGGACCCGUCGAAGAAGCCCCGGCUAACUCCGUGCCAGCAG
RNAcentral lists this ribosomal RNA (123 nucleotides) under uncultured bacterium. Its description in RNAcentral is "partial 16S ribosomal RNA". It matches the Rfam family "Bacterial small subunit ribosomal RNA", at positions 373 to 514 of the family's 1533-position model. The record is from RNAcentral.